UUUCUGGGUUUAGUUACCAGUCUUAGCAAUACCUUUACCAUGUCUCUAGAGGCACAGAAUUAAUUUUCUGUCUCUGGGAGUGUUCCAGCCUUGAGCACUGGGCGGGAAACCUCCUGGAGCUUUCCCCCCUUGGAUUGGUUUGGCUGUGACACUUGUCACAGGCACUGAGAUCUUUGCAGUGUGGGUGUGUGAUAAAUGUGAGCUGGGUCCUGCCAGUGGCUGGGUUUGGUGUGGGCUGUGCAGCUGCCAGUGGGAAAUGCUCUGCAGACCCUCCCCAUGUGAUGGCAGGAAGGGCUGUGGUGGUAGAGGUCCCUUCCAAUUUAAAUUAUUCUUUGAUACUUAGCUCAAAACAAACAAUUUUUGACACCAGUUAUUCUACCUUGGCUUUUCGCUAUCAGCCAGCCUCAGAAGUAAUGUACUGCUCCAAUGGGCUGUAGGGUGACUUGGAAGAGCUCUCACUCCUGGAAAAGAAUAAGGGCAGCAAGCCGAGGGAGACUCGGCAGGGUGCUUGAGGCUUUCAUGAUCUAAUUGAAAGGAAGCGCAGAGUUCCACCUCUGUUAGAGCCAGAGCUGGUGUGACUCAUCCUGGAGGGCACUGCUUUGCGUGGUCCUUCGCCUGAGCUGUUGCCCUGCUGUGAGAAAUCUGCCAUAAGAGAAAGCUGGAAACAGACUUAACCUCAUUUUGGAUUGUCCACUGCCAUCCAGGAGCGGUGAGAAUUGUGAAUCCAUUUAUUUUUCCCUUUAAAGUGAAUUGUACUGCCUGCCCAUGGAAACAUAGGGUGCAACUGAGGAAGACACUGCUUUUGUGCAAGAAGUGCCACGAGGAUUAAAGUGCACCAGGUGCAAUGGGUGUGGAUGAGUCAGGAGAUCCUGGCUUCAAAUGUGAGCUCUUCAAAGUGGUAUCUGCCUUUUUUGGUGAGCCUCACGCAGACCUCUCAUUUAAAGAAUGCAGAACCAUAACAAAA
Molecule: long non-coding RNA, 964 nt
Organism: Chiroxiphia lanceolata (lance-tailed manakin)
Lineage: Eukaryota; Metazoa; Chordata; Aves; Passeriformes; Pipridae
Exons: 2
Source: RefSeq, a predicted model, not a curated record